Molecule: transfer RNA, 73 nt
Filed under: Strongylocentrotus purpuratus (purple sea urchin)
Lineage: Eukaryota; Metazoa; Echinodermata; Echinoidea; Camarodonta; Strongylocentrotidae
Rfam family: tRNA
About the family: Transfer RNA (tRNA) molecules are approximately 80 nucleotides in length. Their secondary structure includes four short double-helical elements and three loops (D, anti-codon, and T loops).
Source: Rfam by way of RNAcentral
GGUGUUGUGGUCUAGUUGAUAAGUCUUUGGACUGUGAUCCACAAAGUACAGGGUUCAAAUCCCUGCCACAGCA